Molecule: ribosomal RNA, 393 nt
Filed under: uncultured bacterium
Lineage: Bacteria
Description: partial 16S ribosomal RNA
Rfam family: Bacterial small subunit ribosomal RNA
Source: RNAcentral
AUACGGAGGAUCCGAGCGUUAUCCGGAUUUAUUGGGUUUAAAGGGUGCGUAGGCGGCCUUUUAAGUCAGCGGUGAAAGUCUGUGGCUCAACCAUAGAAUUGCCGUUGAAACUGGGGGGCUUGAGUAUGUUUGAGGCAGGCGGAAUGCGUGGUGUAGCGGUGAAAUGCAUAGAUAUCACGCAGAACCCCGAUUGCGAAGGCGGCCGGCCAAGCCAUGACUGACGCUGAUGCACGAAAGCGUGGGGAUCAAACAGGAUUAGAUACCCUGGUAGUCCACGCAGUAAACGAUGAUCACUAGCUGUUUGCGAUACACUGUAAGCGGCACAGCGAAAGCGUUAAGUGAUCCACCUGGGGAGUACGCCGGCAACGGUGAAACUCAAAUGAAUUGACGGGG